ACUAAGCCAAACUGUAGCUGAUGUUCAAGGUGAUCUGUCUGAUCAUGAGGGAUAUCCAGACCCCCCAAUUCUCACACCCCAAAAUGUAGAUAUGUCAUCAUCACAUGCUCUUAAAGCGCAAUCCAUCCGAGACCUUAAGCCCCCUGAGGGUGAUGGCAUGAUUACACAGGAGGCCUUAACCCAUUUCAGUCAGGCGUGUCAAGCUGUAACCGCCUUACUAGGCGCUAGCGACGCAAAAGGCCGCAGAAGUGCCCCUCCACGUCCUCCCCUGGGGAGGAAUGUUAGGGUUAAGUCACCUGUGCCAAGUGGGUCUGAUGGAAGUGAGCGGAGCAUGAGUGAUUGUGACAGUGAUGUGGGAAAGCAUGUGAUCCAUUCCCUACCACGCAGGCAUAAGAUUGCCCAUCAGGGGGAUGAGAGUUUCAGACGACCAACAUAUGCUGAGGUGGUCUCUAGAAAGAAAAAUACUCAGUGUUCAGAAAAGGAUCAGAACUCCUCGAGUAUUAUUAAGUUUUUAAAUGUCACUGUGCCCAAAUUCUCUAAAAAGGGUUCUCCUGAAAUUGCCAAUCACUUAGAACUGUACCAGUCCACCAUGGAUUCUUUAAAAUUGUAUUCUGAUGCGGACAGGAUCAGAUUCCUACCAUGGGCAUUUGAUGGUAAAUAUCGCCACUACUUUAUUUCAUUUAGGGAGAGGGGAAUUCAGGAUUGGCAGGAUGUUUUGCAUGAGGUCAAAUUAGAAUUUGGACCUUACCGUACUGUUACUGCUGCAAAACGUGAUAUCUAUAAACUUACAUGUAGACCCAAUCAGAGUCCCCGUGAAUUCCUCCCUAUCCUUAAAAAUGCCUAUGGGUUGGCGUAUAGAUCCCCAAACUGGGAGUCUGAGGAGUUCAAAAAGCUGUUUUAUGAUGCAAUGCCCAUGCAAAUUAAACUUAGCUUGGCUAGAGAUCUUGAUCUCAAAGCUCCCUUGGACAGGUUGGUGACGGCUGCCACCUCACUGUAUAACAUCAGUGAAUGCCAUGCUACAGGUGAGAGGAGAUAUAAAAAGUCCCCAGAACAAAGCAUAGCAGAAGCUAAGGUAAACCCUAGCUUCAAAUUUGAAACGCAGCCACGUAAGUACCCUCAGUCUACAGGACCUGUCCAACAAACCCAGCGACAACAGUUAGGACCCAAGCAAACAAGACCUCAGAGCCCCAAUGGGCCAGAGGGGGAUAACUCCAGUGCUGGCAGGUUUAACUACCGUCCCCAAUAUUACAAUAGGGGUCCCCAGGGGGGAUACAGACGCUGGAACAACAGGCCCAGACAACAGAAGGAAAAUAGGCCUGAAUCCCCUACCUCACCUAGAAGUCGGUCACCCACUUCUAAUAAGGGCGCACCAGAGGUCCAAACUGUGCGCAAACCAAACAAUCGUUUGGAUCAGUUGGCAGAUCAAGUGGCCAAAUUACAGGAGAUCGUUAGUAAAAUGUCCCAGGUGUCAACUGGAAAACAGCCUGAGUCUUUUUUAGGGGCAACUGCAGGACCCAGCUCAGCCCCAUAAUGCAGGCAGGGCAGGGUCAGAGCCCAGGCCGGUGCAAGGCUACUGAGAUGGUUGUAAAAGAAUCUGAUGUGAUUUCUAAUCCUACUUUGCCUUGCAGUGUUCCUGACCCUAAAAUUGAGGCCAAGGAGGAGAUGUCUAACAUGUUGUCUAUGUUACAGUCUAAUCACGAUGAUUCCUGCACUAAUGUGUCUUCUCCAGUGAGUGAUCCUAUCAUCUCAGCGUCCACCUGUGAGCUGCCGCCUGUAAGCUGUGAUGUGAUCCAGUGUUCUCCGAAGGUGGGGGCUGCUGCUGCUGCCACCGCGAGCAGCAGGAAUUCCAAGAAUUCAUCAGAGGUCGCGACGCUGCAGAAAGGUCAAAUCCUUAACAAAUGUCAAAUAAGUGAUCACCCUAAUUUUUUAUGUGAUUUGUUUCAGAUAGAAGGCCGAUAUUUUCUUGAUUCCUAUCUCCAAGAUGAACUUAUCGGACCAAUCAGGGGUUUACUUGACACAGGAUCACAAGCCACUAUAUUGUCAUAUAGUUAUUUGCCCAGAAGAAUCUGGAGAAAGCAGCCGUGAGUGCCAAAACCUACUAUGAUCUGAAGACUACUCAAAAGGAGUACCAAAUUUCUGAUCAGGUUUAUCUCUAUAACUUCGCCCGGGAUCAGGUGAAGGAAAGGAAGUUCCUGCCUUCCUGGAAGGGACCCUAUGUCGUCACUGACAAAUUGUCACCUGUGGUCUACAAGAUCAAAAUUCCUAAGGGGGAUGAAUUUAUAGAGAAAUGGGUGCACAUUAAUCAAUUACGUGUUUGUCAUCCUAGGUCACAACUUCGCCAAAUGGAAGGAUUGCCGGAUGAUGAAGAGUAAAGAGAUAACAAGGUUCCAGCUAAAGACGGAAACCCAGGAUUGGUAUAGUGCAAAAUGGCACAGAGGGUUGUUGCCGUUAUCUACAUCGUCCUGAUCUUGGGGAAGGAGUUCCAGGCCGAGCCGAUUGCUGUACCAGGCCCUUCAUCUGGGAUCAUGCUACAGGAUACCACGGGAUUCAUCUUGACGAAUAAGAGGAUUCUAUCCCAAAAGAUCUACGUCAGUUUGGACCCACGUGUCUUCGUCGAGAGACAGUUCAACAUUUCUGAGAUUUCGUCUCCGGAGAUAAAGAUUUGGUAUCAAAUGCACAUCGGCUAUUCCCAAGAAAGAGUUACACAGAUCCUGGAACAGACAAGGAAAACCAUGACCAGAGAACAGUUUUCAACAAGUCGACGACCAAAGCGGUUCAUUUCUGCAAUUACAGCCGCCAUAAUCUUUGCCGUAGUGGGCACUGUCAUUGCCACCGGUGUAUCAGCUGUUAAUUCCAUCUCUAUUAAGACAUUGGAACUUGAGAUCGGUUCACUGAAAAGGAACCUAAUGAGUAUUCAUGCAGAGAUGGAGAACCAGAAAAAACAUUUAUCGGACUUAUAUUCCGUUGUAGAGGAUACUGUCGUCACCACCGACUUUCACUCAAAGUUAUUGACUCAUUCAAUGAAUCUUCAUGAGAGUCACGAACAGUUUAAACAAGAACUAAUGUCUCUAAAGACUCUGAAUGAAAACCCCAUUGUGACAUUCCAAUGUAACCCAACAUCUCUAUUGGAUUACAUUGUAAUGAAGGGGGAUUUUGUUGUGCUUUUUCAUAAGUUUAAACAGUUAUAUUUACUUAUUUUAGUUAUAAUGGGUAUUCAUUGCCUUUAAGAGCAAUGUUGAUUUAUAUUCACUGUUUUGUAUGAAGUUUCAUG
This is an RNA transcript of Bufo gargarizans (Asiatic toad), 3271 nucleotides long. RefSeq lists it as uncharacterized. The transcript has 2 exons. Lineage: Eukaryota; Metazoa; Chordata; Amphibia; Anura; Bufonidae. The record is from RefSeq and is a predicted model, not a curated record.